AUUGAACGCUGGCGGCAGGCCUAACACAUGCAAGUCGAGCGGAUGAAGGGAGCUUGCUCCUGGAUUCAGCGGCGGACGGGUGAGUAAUGCCUAGGAAUCUGUCUGGUAGUGGGGGAUAACGUCCGGAAACGGGCGCUAAUACCGCAUACGUCCUGAGGGAGAAAGUGGGGGAUCUUCGGACCUCACGCUAUCAGAUGAGCCUAGGUCGGAUUAGCUAGUUGGUGGGGUAAAGGCCUACCAAGGCGACGAUCCGUAACUGGUCUGAGAGGAUGAUCAGUCACACUGGAACUGAGACACGGUCCAGACUCCUACGGGAGGCAGCAGUGGGGAAUAUUGGACAAUGGGCGAAAGCCUGAUCCAGCCAUGCCGCGUGUGUGAAGAAGGUCUUCGGAUUGUAAAGCACUUUAAGUUGGGAGGAAGGGCAGUAAGUUAAUACCUUGCUGUCUUGACGUUACCAACAGAAUAAGCACCGGCUAACUUCGUG
This 484-nucleotide ribosomal RNA is filed under the name uncultured bacterium. Its description in RNAcentral is "partial 16S ribosomal RNA". It matches the Rfam family "Bacterial small subunit ribosomal RNA", at positions 30 to 507 of the family's 1533-position model. The record is from RNAcentral.